Long non-coding RNA from Bombus huntii, 6721 nucleotides. RefSeq lists it as uncharacterized. NCBI's taxonomy places the organism in Eukaryota, Metazoa, Arthropoda, Insecta, Hymenoptera, Apidae. The transcript is spliced from 4 exons. The record is from RefSeq and is a predicted model, not a curated record.
AGAGUAAUUACCAGUUAUUCUCAACAUAUUGUUCCAAUUAUAAAGACAAAUUCAUAGAAACUUAUACGCUAUAUCUUUCUCUUAAGGAUCUCCUCCUGAAGACGAAAACUUCUAGAAUUUAAAAACUCCAGUUGCAAAACUUCGGAGAACGGAGAUUUCAAAUGUUAAGAACCUGAGAGUUCCAAAACUUCAGCCCCGAAAUUUCGGAAAAUGAAGUGUCCAAUCUAAAGUCCAAUCGAAGUUCAAAACAUCACCUCCAAAGUUGCAGUUUCAACAUUUCAGAAAAUUCCAAAUACUAAGAACUUGAGAAGAUUAACUUCUACGUUCUUCACGUUAUCCAGGUCUUCUUCAAAUUCCUCCGAAAGGUUUGUACACACAAGGUAGUAAUAAAGCUUUCUACACAAAACCCAAAUAAAACAGAUCAAAUACUGAUACCGAUUCAAUUUUAUACUUUCAAAAUCUACAUUUAAAUCAUUCAACGAUCACUGUAUUAACAACCUGUUAUCCUUCUCUAACAGAAACGAGUAGACUUAAAGUCUGUCAUUUUGAAGAAUGUCCUAUCCUCGAUGAAGAUAUCGCAGAGAAACGACGUAAGCGGCAAGGUCCGUUAGGAAAAGGGUGCAGGGAAAAUCGUCGGUUGGUCGAAGAUGAAAAAGUACAAGCUCGGUCGAGCGUUAGAAUCCGUUAGAGAGGAUUUCCGUGUAGGCAAACACGGGGCUGAGUGGUUCGUAUACGUUUCUCCCCGCUUCCACGUUCCACCGACGCGUUGGUUUCUCCAUCGCCUUAUCAGGCUUUCGACUCCUCUUCCUAUAUGUGUACCUAUAUACGUAUAUAGCUCUGUCUAUAAGCCACUAGAAACUUACUAAUUUUAAACAUAAUUCUUAUUAAGCAUUGAGCAGCAGAAUCAAGUUGAUGGUUUUCAAAAUGUAAUAAACAUACGUUACUUUAUAUCAAUGAACUUCUAAUAUAAUUGUAGUAAUAUAAUUGUAAUGAUAAUAUCGUCUAAUAUAAUAAUAGUAAUGUAUGUAUAAUUUAUAAGGUGAGCAGAUUUGUCUAGAAUACAAUAUUUGUCGAUUGUGUUUGUAUGUAGAAACAAAAUUUUUUAAGUAGAACGUGGGGUAUUCAAAAGAGUUAGAAAAUUGAGAGAUUUUCUUUAAAUCUAGUUCGACUCAGAAAAUGUAAAGAAGUUACUUUAAUUCACACAGAAGACACACGCAAGACAGAGAAUUCAAUUCAAUUCAGUGAACGCAAAGAAUUUACUAUAAUUCAGAGAGCGAAGAAUAUUCAAUUCAAUAGAAAGAAUACAAAGAAUUUAGCUUAAUUCGGUUUCCCUUAUAACGCAUACGAACAAUAAUAAGUAAUAACUGUCAACUUUAUAUUGUAAUAGCAAAGCUCAUUACUCCUUAUCCGAAAUGUAUAUAUACGUAUAUACACGUAAGUGUCCAGUGACUUAUGGAUAGGAGUGUAUAUACGUGCAAGUUGAUCGAGCAACGGGGAAACAUGCCUACCGGUCACGUUCGCGCCACUGUGCAAUCUGUUUAAGGCACAAUGCCCCUUAAUUUCGCCUCGUUAUAUGCUCUCGUUACGGGAAAUCGCCCCUUCCCUGUCGUCGUCCGGUAUCGCGUUAUCGGUUUCAUCUUCUCGUUGCCCCGAAAACCGUGGAAACCUGGUAAUCGGCAGGCAAUUGGUUCGGCUGAUCGAGAAGGUCAGUCUUUGGUAUCGAAUAGAAUAAUUGCUUCAAAGUGAAGUCUGAAUCAACAAACACAAAUGAUAGUCGAUAAAGGCAAUUAAUACGUCUCUGAUCCUAUUUUUUUUUCUUUUUUUUUGAAUGAUUAUGAGGAAAAUUAAGGAAUUGGAAAUAAGAAUCGACAAUGAAUCAACAGGGAUGACACGUCUGGUUCCAAAUUGUUAGAAACCUGCAUGACGGAUUGAAGUUUUAGAAGCAAGAAGUGAGCAAGAUAAAAACGUGUAUGCUAAAUAAAAAUAUGUAUGCUAUAUCCUAUAUUUGUUUGGAAACGUCAGCUUCGAUAAAAGCUAAUAGACCAUGGCAGAAGGUUAAAUUUCACAUAUAAAAUAAUACAUUAACGUAUGAAGACAUUGCGAAACAUCAUCACAGUAAAUGGAUUUUGUUUUCCUUUUCCAGUUGACGCGACUGGAGCAUCCUGUAGGAAUCCUGCAGUUUGAUUGUGCAAGGCAGAUGCUGCUUCUAAAUAGCAGUUGGUGUCCGCUGUGUUAAACAAUUUGAUUUCGUCUCUGAUUGGCACGCGGGAGAAUCUUGCACGAGGGAUGCAACUCCACGGUCCAGGUCGCGAGGGUCCGCCACAAUCAGCGUAGCCGUAGGGCUACGACUUCGGUGGCCUUCCACGUCAAAAGACGAACUCCGACAUCCUGAUGACACGGAAUCUUGAUGUUCUGGAAUCUGGACUGUAUUCGUUUCUCCGUGUUCGAGUAAACGUCAUAGAUGUGAAGUUCAAACAUUGAUUUUUCAAUUUAUUAUAGAAGAUAGAGUUUUGUUCAUGCAGGGAUGAAAAUGAUCGAAAUGAUAUCUUAUAGUGUUUUAUGAUCUUGUAGAGGUAAAUGAAUGAGGAGAUAUAAUCGGUUUUUUUUUUGUAGAAGAUAUAAAUUUUGGUGAUAAAGGGGUAAAGAAGAUUGGAGUGAUUUUUGUAUCGUUUAGAAUUUUGUAGUUGUAUGCAAGGUGAAUUUUAAAUAUUGCUUUUGAGAGAAGAUUGAAAUGUUUACAAUAGAGGGAUUUGUACUCUUUAUAGUUUUGUAGAAAUAUGAAAUAUGUACUUUAGACAUUGUUUUUUGAAAGAAGAGACGAAUGAUAAUAGAAAGAUGAAAGUUGAGAUGAUUUUCAUAUUUCCUCUAGCUUUGCACAAGCACGGGAGAAACGAAUUUGAAACAUUGUUACUGGAAAAGAUAUGCCUCUAUAUUUCAAUAGCUUGGCAAAAGUUCAUAAGAUGUUAGAAAAUCAGUUAAAAAUCUGCAGCUGGUGUUACGCUAUGUUAACAAGCAGCACCUGCCCACUGAGACCUUAUUUGCAUCCCUGUUCCAGCUGUUUUAUCCGUCUACAUAAAUUAUUCUCACGAUACAAUAACACAGCGUCUAAACUAAACGAAAACAUUGGAAAGGCAGAAAUGCAAACUUUCAAGUUGUAACGUUCAAGUACUAUACAUGACCUGUUUAACUGUAUCACAUAAGGAGAGUCAGCCGAGUCAGUCAUACUAUACAGACAGCAAGUCAACAAGUUCCUUCUGUAUGUUGCCUAUUGUACAGUCUAACAUCAUCAGACCACUUUUCAAAGAGGUCUCAUUAACUGGCUUUUAUUAACCUGUCUAAUCUUUUCAGCGGGUUAAACGGAAUCUUCAGAGGAGAAACUAUGAUCCAUAUUAUGAGUAAGACUGUCAAACAAUUGAAAAUAGAGGAAAGCAAAAGAAGAGUUAAACGUCGAACGAAGAAGUUUGGAUUAGAUUGGACAUUUCUUCGCCACAAUAUAAAUUAUUACGUGAUGAUAAACGAGGUAGCAUAAACCAACUUCAUUGAGAUAGAGUCAACUGUACUUAUCUUUAAUAUACAACUCAUAUUGUUGUAUAGUUGAAUGACUAUAGUCUUCAGUAUAUCUAGCGUAAUUGGAAGUUUGACAUCGGUUUUAUAUAGCGAGUGCUCGACAUUGGUUGAUUGUAAGUCAUCUUUAGUAUAUACAUCACAUGAGUACAUUGUUUAAUCAUAGUCACUUUAAUUAAGAUACUAGAACUCUAUAAUCGGGUGUACCCAGCACCCUUACCACGUCGAGUUAAUUCGUUAAUUGUUUCUUAUAGGCUUACAAGAUCCUCCAAAUAAAAGUUAAAAUCUGAAUUUAUAAAUUAAUUUGAUAAUCAUGUCACUCAAUCUAAUUCAUGUUUACUAAUGGUAAGACACUUGAUUCCAUCUAUUAUUUAACAGUGAAAUUAUGGCAAUAUUUAUAAUACCUGAUAUUUUCCAGCACUUUAGAAUGGCAGUUGAGAUUUAAGAAUCAUAUUGCCAAAGAUUGUGUGGUACAGCGUAUGUUCUAACUAUAAAGUUCAAAGGUCAGUAGCACAGAAGUCAUCGACAGUCGUGUACGUCAGACACGUUACGUCACUUCGAAUAGACGUUCUGCUAUUGUCACGCGUAUAUCUGCGCAUUCACGAGCAAUUACCCGGGGUGGGGUAAUCCCGUUAGGCGACGUACAGCUUCCACGGGGGAGGAUCAAAGGACUCGCUAUUCCAAGCUGCUGCACUCUUUGGUUGUUUCAGUCGUCGCUACAAUGCUACUGGGGCCUGCAAGAAGGGGAAUCAUCCACGUCUACGUCGUUCCACGACUUUGUUGGAACUUGGGCAACUUCCUAAUGCACACCUCUGUUCAACCAGCGUCGCUACGCAGCUUCGUACAAUUAUCGUUACUAUUCCGUUUCCGUACCUUUCCCAUAUUUUUAGCCCUUUAUAUCUGAACUUCCAGUUUCGUUUUUCUGCCACAAGUGUUAACAAAUCCUCUUGAUACUGUCUUUGCAUCGUCGUUGCAAUGUUUUGGAUCGUGGUAGAUUUGCAUAAUACAUCUUGAAUUUCUAUGGAAUUAGAAAAUGAGCGGGCUUUCAGAUCUUGAUGAUGUGGCGAAGAUUGAAAUGGUAAAGAAUUCUUACUGGAACUGGACCUAUCAGAGAUAUUUUGGAUAUUUUGCUCUCACGAUUAGUAAAAAUACUCAGGAGCAACGCUAAUUUGUGAAUAAGUGCUGAAGCUUGAAAGGAAACAUUUAUAUCGGAAAUUAACUUGCAUUCAGAAACUGACGCGGCACACGCUAAAUCUUCUGUACUUAUACGGUUAGCAGAGAACGUGGCAGCGCGGUGGAAAAAUUCUGCAACGCGACACGAGACGGCAAUCGCUUAAUUGUGAUUAAUUGCGGUUUUACCAGGAAAAGAUCGCGUUGUAACUGGCGCGAGUCGCUCAAGCGAUUCGCUUGCUCGCGCAACUUUAAAGAGCCAGUUGCGUGCAAUGCUUGUUUCCUUACUUUCACGCAUCGUAUCGAAACUAUAGCCCUCUUGAUUUCUCAGCCAUUCUACUCGAUCGUGCACGCUGAUCUUUUUUCACGAUAACGGUUAAGACCAUCCUCUUUCUACCUCUGGCUGACCGCCGCAAAUAACUUUAUUGCGGCAAUUAAAAUUAUCGCUGUCCCGGUUAAAUCAUCUGGUAUUAUAACAUUUUUUUCAUGAUAAGCUUCUUUCUCUUAAAUUCUUAGUAUAUACGUUCAUGGAAAUGUAUUUUCAUUAUUUUUCCAAAUCAACACACGCACUCUCUUUUGGAGUUUACUCUUUUGGAGGAGAUCCAAUAUUCUGCACAAAUAUUUUCUUUAGGUCUUUAAUGCUUCCUAAUCCUAUUCACCUUACAAGUUUUUGCUAGGAACCAGAUUAGUUCUAUAGAUAUGUAUAAAUUGUAGCUUGGCAGCUCUAGUGUUAAUUAAACGGUACAUGAUGUAAAUGUCAAAUAAUCUUGAAAUCUCUACGUACAAUAAUUCUAUCCAACUUAUAAUUCCUCUGACUGCUAAAGUAUAACAAAAUUUUGCACACAUGGAUGAUUGGCUUUUAAAUUAUUUUCCAGGAGGCUGUGUAAUUAUAUCAUCCUUAAUGUUCAUGUCGCAGGAAAAUGUCCCAUGAACCGCAAUACAAUUUAGCUGCAUCACGUUCAAGAUGAAUACUUACAAGAUGUAAGCUUAAGGUACGAUGGAAGGAGGAAAGUUUCGAUGCCUAUUGCUGCGACAUCCGGUUUCCGGACAAGUGAAAUGGCGAAUGGAAUAAUUUAAUACAGGGGCGAUACAAGGGCCAAAGCGAUCGGUCUAAUCGUGUCUGAACGAGGUUAAAACACCGGCACCCGCCGCUCUUAUUUACGUCCGACAAUAAGUCAAUUCAUCACUCUGCGAUUUGGCCUUAAGUGGUAUCACUGACUCAUACACACAGCCGUCUGGAGCGGUGUGCCUAUUUCGGGCAUAAAUCACAGUUGCCCGUGCGGUGCGUAAUAAUGAACAAGCGAGCGUAGCACGCGACCCUUUAAACGUGCUGGCUGGAAAACGAGUGGCUCGUAAGGUAGCAGGGAUUAGCUUUGGUCCCUAUGUGUCCCUGCUUAAUCCUGAAAACGUUACGGGCCGCGAAAUUCUUCGCCCGUAUCAGGUCACGUAAAAAUGCAAUUUUAUGAGUACGUAGGUUUACAAACCAGGGGCCAGGCUAUGCAGAUAAUAACGAAGAUAAAGAAAUGGAUUUUUAUUGCUUGAUACAUUGGUAAAGCUAGCGUAUAAUCAGUUUAUAUAUUUUAGGAGUAUCGUGGUCGAAGGAAUAUUUUUAGAACGGUAACUCUAGGAUUUGAAUUGCGAGGGCAAAAUUGUUUCUAGUAUGCAGUCGGUGAUGCAAUUGCGUUUGCUCAGAGAAAUAGAAGAUACCGGGGAAGAUAACACGAAUUAAAGCUUAAACAUAAAUAAUUGCACGGUGCUACGAUAAGAAUGGUAAGUUGUUGGUAAGCAAGUAACAAAUAAAUAAUUAAUCAGCGAAGAACUUGAUUGAUGAUUAGUUCUGUAUGUAUUAAGGGGCACCAUAGGUAGCUAAUACUCUGAAUACUCUGGUAAUAUAAAGAUGCACGGAAGAAAAUGUAUUACUGUUACACCAGUUGAUGAUUAACAUAGAAUGCCUAUCACUUUUCUAUCUAGUCGUCGUAAGUAACUA